Molecule: ribosomal RNA, 492 nt
Filed under: uncultured bacterium
Lineage: Bacteria
Description: partial 16S ribosomal RNA
Rfam family: Bacterial small subunit ribosomal RNA
Source: RNAcentral
AGUGAACGCUGGCGGUAGGCCUAACACAUGCAAGUCGAACGGCAGCACAGUAAGAGCUUGCUCUUACGGGUGGCGAGUGGCGGACGGGUGAGGAAUACAUCGGAUUCUACUUUUUCGUGGGGGAUAACGUAGGGAAACUUACGCUAAUACCGCAUACGACCUACGGGUGAAAGCAGGGGAUCUUCGGACCUUGCGCGAUUGAAUGAGCCGAUGUCGGAUUAGCUAGUUGGCGGGGUAAAGGCCCACCAAGGCGACGAUCCGUAGCUGGUCUGAGAGGAUGAUCAGCCACACUGGAACUGAGACACGGUCCAGACUCCUACGGGAGGCAGCAGUGGGGAAUAUUGGACAAUGGGCGCAGGCCUGAUCCAGCCAUACCGCGUGGGUGAAGAAGGCCUUCGGGUUGUAAAGCCCUUUUGUUGGGAAAGAAAAGCAGCAGGUUAAUACCCCGCUGUUCUGACGGUACCCAAAGAAUAAGCACCGGCUAACUUCGUG